CUAAAAUUUUAAUUUUCGCUCCAAAAAUUUCAAACACCAAAUUGUUAAAAAAACCCAUUGUACAGUUUCCUCUGCCUUCCCACUUUCACGGAAACACAAGCUAUUUUCUCUUAAGUCCUUCCCGGCCCCUAUUUGAUUUCCCCCAUCUGAUUUCUCUCUCAUCUCUCGUUCUCGACCUCCACAUUCUACAUCUCCCUUGGGAGUCUGUCAAAUUCGCGAUGCCUAGUUGAAGAUUCUCGAGCGUCGCCGGCGAUUCGAAUCAAGGUAAAACUCGUUUCUUCCCCGAUUUGGGGUUGAAAAGGGUAACCAAAUUUCUUAAGAAUCAUGCAAAGGGUUUUUUUUAGAUCUCCUGGGUCGACUUUCUUUAGAAAUUCUGUGAUUGAUGGAAAUUCGGGGCUUAGGGUUGAUGAGAAUUCAAGAUGUAUAUGAGAGAAGGAAAGGAAGACGAAGAGAGCGAAAGUUCGACCUCGCACCUCUUUAUUUCAUUUGAUUGAAUAUGAGAGAAGUGGGUUUUGAUAGGCACACCAAGUGUUUGUGGAAAGAGUCUUCGAUGUGGAGUCCAAAAGAGUCUUCGAUUUGUUUGUCGGUUUCUGUAGUUGCAGGACAGAAGCGUUGCUUUUGCAGCAACAAAUUUCAGUGGAAUUCAAUCAAUGGAACAUGUGACAUCAAUUUUGGGAAAAGUAAAAAAGGGAGGAAGAAUGAGAUUUUGGACAAGAAGCAAGAGCUUGAUGCCGAACAGAAUAGUUAAGCGAAAAACAGGAAGCUAAUCUUUAAUAGAUCUCUAAUAAUACUGUAAGGAAUACGAAAAUCAGGUUUGUCACACUAGUUCCGUCUCUACCUGUAGUUGGUCGUGAUGUUUGGUUCCUAAUGCAACUUGCUUAUUGAUUCCAGGAGAAAGUGACUAUCUCUAUGUGAAGAGAGGCUAAGUUGAAGGGUGGAUUCUUUGUCGAGGCUGAAGCUAAGCUCCUCUUUAUCAUUCAUAAUAGAGGCAGUCAUGACAUCAGCAACAAUCACCUCAGAGGGGGGAGAUGAUGCCGAACUAGAAACCAAAAACAUGGGACUCCUGUUUCGCCAACAUGAAGGCAUAGAAGAUGACAGUUGUUACUCACAGAACCAACGGUGGUGCGACACGUGGUGCUAUUAAUCAACCAAGUUAACCAUGGUUAAUUAAGGGGUCAAUUGGCAAUUCCAUGAGCCAAGCUACUGAUGAUAUUAAUUGAUUAUGAAAUAUUUGAUAGCUUUUGAUUUUUGUUUGAGUUGUUACUUACACGAACAUAGUAGUAAUUUAUAUAUAAUAAGUUUUCUGAGAAAAACCAUGAAUUUUGUUUUAGUUUAUUGGUUAAUAGCCUUGUAAUAUAUUAUGCCCAUGGGCAUGAAUAAUGUAUAAAUAAUUUUUCUUUUUGGCAUAAUAUUUGAAAUAUAUUUAUUUAAUUUUAAA
Long non-coding RNA from Beta vulgaris subsp. vulgaris (sugar beet), 1438 nucleotides. RefSeq lists it as uncharacterized. Lineage: Eukaryota; Viridiplantae; Streptophyta; Magnoliopsida; Caryophyllales; Amaranthaceae. The transcript is spliced from 5 exons. The record is from RefSeq and is a predicted model, not a curated record.